RNAcentral lists this long non-coding RNA (507 nucleotides) under Homo sapiens (human). Its description in RNAcentral is "non-protein coding LINC02206:9". Lineage: Eukaryota; Metazoa; Chordata; Mammalia; Primates; Hominidae. The record is from RNAcentral.
CAGCAUGGAGCACAGCCAGGAGAAACUGUUCUGGGUGAAGAGCCAGAUCUGCUCUGGAAUGCAGCAAAGAGCUCCUUCCUGCUUUCUCAGCCCCUGCAGCAGCUCCUGCUUCACUCCAAGAAAAUGCCAGCCCCCUAAGAACCUGUCCCUUUGGAACAGUGGAUCCAAAAGCUGACCCAAGAGACCUUGAACUUAACACCUCUGUGUCAUGGGCUCCUUAAUGAUAGAAAGAAGAUUGCUUUAGAAGACUGGUUUGCAAACCAGUCUGCUGGGCACUAGAAGCCUUGGGAAGAUUUGAAAAAUAAAUCUUAUUGGCCUCACCAUUUCACAUUCUGACUUAGAGGGUGUGGGCUCUCUAAUCUGAUUGUGUUUUUUUCUGUUUUUGUUUUUGUUUUUGAGACAGAGUCUUACUCUUUUGCCCAGGCUGGAGUGCAGUGGCGCGAUCUCGGCUCACUGCAACCUCCACCUCCCAGUUUCAAGCGAUUCUCCUGCCUCAGCCUCCCGAGU